UACGUAGGGGGCAAGCGUUGUCCGGAUUUAUUGGGCGUAAAGAGCGUGUAGGCGGCCAGGUAGGUCAGCUGUGAAAACUCGAGGCUCAACCUCGAGACGUCGGUUGAAACCACCUGGCUAGAGUCCGGGAGAGGAGAGUGGAAUUCCUGGUGUAGCGGUGAAAUGCGCAGAUAUCAGGAAGAACACCCGUGGCGAAGGCGGCUCUCUGGGACGUGACUGACGCUGAGACGCGAAAGCGUGGGGAGCAAACAGG
Molecule: ribosomal RNA, 253 nt
Filed under: uncultured bacterium
Lineage: Bacteria
Description: partial 16S ribosomal RNA
Rfam family: Bacterial small subunit ribosomal RNA
Source: RNAcentral